This is a long non-coding RNA of Prosopis cineraria, 546 nucleotides long. RefSeq lists it as uncharacterized. The transcript is spliced from 3 exons. NCBI's taxonomy places the organism in Eukaryota, Viridiplantae, Streptophyta, Magnoliopsida, Fabales, Fabaceae. The record is from RefSeq and is a predicted model, not a curated record.
AGUCAAUGUAUGAAAGUGAAGGAGACAAAAUCAAGAACCCAUGAUGGUUCAAGUGAUGGUAUGACUUCUAUCUAUUUUUAUUGUAUUGUAAAUAAGAUUUGUUGUUAUUACUUACAUUGUUUAUUUAACUUGCUUGAAUGAUAAAUUUAUUGUGCUUUUGAAGAAAUUGAAAGGAGAGACAUAUAGCCAGUUAAAGGACUUGAAAGUCAAAAUUGUGAAGAUGGUUACCUAACUCGAUAUACGCUGGGAGAAUGACGCUAAAGAAGAAUGGGACGGACUAACAAUACCUACGUUCACCAAUGAGCAAUUGUUUGACAUGCGUUUGGGCAUUAUAAAUUGACUGAGUACGCACCCACUCAACAAGGCUUCUGGUAGGCUCAUGAGUUUUAUUGUAGAUACCAUAAAACAUGGUGACUGAAAAUGCAUAACCAGUGAAGAAGAUGAAUUGUAGACAAUGUAUUCAAUCCUUUUUUUUUUUUCUCUCUUUCUAGGAAUGUUGUGUAGAGAUUGGCAACUAUUUGUACAUGGUGCAUAGAGAUUGUAGCU